Molecule: ribosomal RNA, 590 nt
Filed under: uncultured bacterium
Lineage: Bacteria
Description: bacterial SSU rRNA
Rfam family: Bacterial small subunit ribosomal RNA
Source: RNAcentral
UUGAUCAUGGCUCAGGACGAACGCUGGCGGCGUGCUUAACACAUGCAAGUCGAACGGAAAGGCCUCUUCGGAGGUACUCGAGUGGCGAACGGGUGAGUAACACGUGGGUGAUCUGCCCUGCACUCUGGGAUAAGCCUGGGAAACUGGGUCUAAUACCGGAUAGGACCAUGCUUUAGUGUGUGUGGUGGAAAGUUUUUUUCGGUGUAGGAUGAGCCCGCGGCCUAUCAGCUUGUUGGUGGGGUAAUGGCCUACCAAGGCGGCGACGGGUAGCCGGACUGAGAGGUUGGUCGGCCACAUUGGGACUGAGAUACGGCCCAGACUCCUACGGGAGGCAGCAGUGGGGAAUAUUGCACAAUGGGCGCAAGCCUGAUGCAGCGACGCCGCGUGGGGGAUGACGGCCUUCGGGUUGUAAACUCCUUUCGCCAGGGACGAAGCGUUUUGUGACGGUACCUGGAGAAGAAGCACCGGCUAACUACGUGCCAGCAGCCGCGGUAAUACGUAGGGUGCAAGCGUUGUCCGGAAUUACUGGGCGUAAAGAGCUCGUAGGUGGUUUGUCACGUCGUCUGUGAAAUUCCACAGCUUAACUGUGG